This is a long non-coding RNA of Harmonia axyridis, 929 nucleotides long. RefSeq lists it as uncharacterized. The transcript is spliced from 2 exons. The record is from RefSeq and is a predicted model, not a curated record. NCBI's taxonomy places the organism in Eukaryota, Metazoa, Arthropoda, Insecta, Coleoptera, Coccinellidae.
CGUAGUUUCGGAGAUAUAAAUUUUUUUAAAUUUGUAAUAUUUCAAAAUUGAUUUUUCGUCACGUGCCGAGAUAUUAUGCCUUUUCAAGAAGAAAUAAUGGCCCAAAGUGUAAAAUUUGCAGUGUUUUCGUUCAACCGACUAAUUGAACAUUAUGAAGUACAUAAUUGCAGAUGUUCAAAGCAAACGACAAACGAGGUUAAGGCUUUGAUGUGGUUAUAUAUAUGUGAAUUCGAUCCAGUUACAUUUCCCACUUCACAGGAAUUGAAGGAAAUUUUUCGCUCUGUCAACGUUCCCUCUACGUUGACGCGUUGCGCACCCAUGUAUUCCGUAAUUUUCACUACUACCCCAAUCGCUGUUAAAACACCGUUGCCUGCACUUGUUUCAUACUUUCAUAGAUGUGCGGGUGCUCUCACCGUCGAGAAACACCAGUUGAAUGUUUAAUCUGAUUGGCUGUUCUCCAUUCGUAUUUGUCGGAUAAUGAAAUGAGCUAUGGACAUAACAAACACAACACAGGAACCAUUGAGGAACCUUAACAAGCACGAUCCGAAUGCAAAUCACACAGUGACAUUCAUUGUAGGAUUCAGUAUUCUGCUCAUAUUCCUUCUCGUCGGAAUACUUGCGAGUACUUUCCUUUGUUACAUCCUUAAAAAAGAUGUGUAUUUGUGGGAAGCUGAGCAGCGAAAAUUAGAUGAAGAGAAUCAGAUGACUGAAGACGAGAUGAACAAAGAAGGAGAUCCCAAAUCUGCAACGAGUGAAAAAAAUUCCAGAAACGAAGAUGGUGUGGAUUGAAAAUUUUGUUGUUUUAUCGAAAUACAAUUUUAAGUGCAUUUGAAUAUUAUCACAGAUGAAUUUUUAAUUUUUAAUAUUUCUGUUAUGUAUUUUCAGUUUGACAAUAAUGAAGAAUGUAUUUUGGAUUAUAUGAAACGCAA